CCUACGGGUGGCCGCCGUGGGGAAUAUUUGUCAAUGGACGAGAGUCUGAAACCGCCAAGUAGCGUGAAGGAUGAAUGCCCCAUGGGUUGUAAACUUCUUUUAUAUGGGAAUAAAAUGUUCCAAGUGUGGGCUUUUGUAUGUACCAUAUGAAUAAGGAUCGGCUAACUCCGGGCCCGGCGCCGCGGUAAUACGGAGGAUCCGGGGGUUAUCCGGAUUUAUUGGGUUUUAAGGGAGCGUAGGUGGGUUGUUAAGUCAGUUGUGAAAGUUUGCGGCUCAACCGUAAAAUUGCAAUUGAUACUGGCAGUCUUGAGUACAGUAGAGGUGGGCGGAAUUCGUGGUGUAGCGGUGAAAUGCUUAGAUAGCACGAAGAACUCCGAUUGCGAAGGCAGCUCACUGGACUGCAACUGACACUGAGGCUCGAAAGUGUGGGUAUCAAACAGGAUUAGAUACCCCUGUAGUC
RNAcentral lists this ribosomal RNA (460 nucleotides) under uncultured bacterium. Its description in RNAcentral is "partial 16S ribosomal RNA". It matches the Rfam family "Bacterial small subunit ribosomal RNA", at positions 338 to 795 of the family's 1533-position model. The record is from RNAcentral.